GUAGUCGAAAUUGAUUACACUCGUAUAUCCUCGGUGAUAUGGUCCGAAAGUAUCUAGCCCGAAGCCGUAAAUUUCGGGACUACGAGUUAUUCACGUGCAUUU
This 102-nucleotide non-coding RNA is filed under the name Haloplasma contractile. Its description in RNAcentral is "Guanine sequence". It matches the Rfam family "Purine riboswitch aptamer". Rfam says of the family: Riboswitches are metabolite binding domains within certain messenger RNAs that serve as precision sensors for their corresponding targets. Allosteric rearrangement of mRNA structure is mediated by ligand binding, and this results in modulation of gene expression. The record is from RNAcentral. RNAcentral also lists the same sequence under 1 other name. Lineage: Bacteria; Bacillati; Mycoplasmatota; Mollicutes; Haloplasmatales; Haloplasmataceae.